AAUUCUAAAAUUUGUAGUAUGCAUUGGAUUUUAACUUUAGUCAUUUGUUCAUGAGAUUCCAGAGUAAAUGAUUUGAAUAUUAUGAUGUGUGAGAUCAUUCUAUUGUGUUUUGUACGUGCUCCUUCCAUAGAUGAGUACACCCAACUUGUCAUCGUCAAAACUUUUAGCAUUAAACCAACCUUUUAUAGAGUGAGCAACUUAUUUAGAUAUUUUUUUUUUGCCCAAAAAGGACACUUAUUGCCUAAGACACACAAUUCUCAGAAUCGAUGCGGAUUGUGAACAAUUAUACCUUUACCUUUGGCCUUUAAAAACCUAGUUGGUCUUUUGUUGGGAAAAAUAAACAUAGUUUUUUUAGUUACUUUUAUUUUAGUUUGCCUAUUAAUUAUUGUUAGGUUUAUAAAUCACUGGGAUUAGAUUAUAGCCACACGAUUUAGAAAGCAUUUUUAGAGCUAAUGGUUGUUGUGGCUUAUGUGUGCUUGAAUAAAACAGACAAGUGACGUGACUUAAUGUUUGUGUUGGUGGUUGACGAAGAAGAAGGUCUCUCUAGUCUAUUUUUUUGGUGAUUGAGUUAUGUUUGAUCGUGUCAACUUCUGUGUUUUUUGAGAUAGUAGUGAACGUGUUCGUUUUUUGUUGCAUGAUAACGCAAUGGAAGAGAAAUGUACAGUGAUUUGUUGGGAGUGGCUGUGUGAGGUGGAGGGAACUGGAAUUUUGUCGUCGACAAGCAUCAUAUGGCGGUGUUGGUGCCUGUUUAUGAGAAAAUCAGCUUGAAGGAGCUUAAGAGCAGUUUUUUACCUGAGUUCAAUGUUCAUGAAGCCCUUUGUCUAGUUUCGUUAAGCUACUGGCCCGCCUAGUACUUUUGAGCUUUCCACUGGCAUGAAGACAUCACCGGUGUUGUUUAAAAGCGACGAGUCUAUAAUGCACUCGUACAAGUACUUGCAAGUGAAGAAGCCAUGAACCUUUCUGCAAGUUUGAUAAUAGGGUAAUCUUUAAAGCAAAGGAUAAUGUGGAUGAGUCCGGUUUACUUUGUAAUCCCAACUAUAGGGAUAAGGAAGAUGUCAACCGAUAUUGAUGGGAGCUCAUCAAAAAGGGGUUAUGUUUCAUGGUUGACUCUAAAACACAUGUAAUCAAUUUGGAUGAUUUUGAGAUUGUACGUGCGAUGGAGAAGGUGGAGGAAGAAAUAAAAAGUGAGGAGUACCCACAGCUUUCAAGAAAAAAAAGCAAGAGGUGGAAAUAAUGGUGAAGACAUUUUGGAUAUCGAAGAUGGUGAUUUGGAUGAAAGGGAUAUCAGACCUAGAAGCAAUGAUAAGGGGUUUUGGAGUCCAUUGCUAGAAGGUGAUUUUGGUGGUUCAAAUGUUGUCAAAGUUGUUUUCAAAGAGGAUAAAAUCGUGGAUAGUCUAAUCAAAAAGAGAGGGCCACGUCAACGAACAAUGCUUUUGAUAUUAGGUGAAAGUGUGGGGCUCAAGCAGUGGGCCGCAACAAGGGAAGUGGUCGAAACUUGAGGAUGAGAACCCGUGGAAGAGUGAUGGAGUAUAUGCGGCUUGCAUGGACUGGGCUUCCCGUGGAUGUGGACAUAAGCUAGAUUAGAGGGAUGACGAGGAGUUUGAUAUACCACUAUUGUUUGAUGAUAUUGCAUAUGAUGCAGCCAAGAUACCGGAUAUGUAUGUGGAUGAAGGGGAUGGAGGAUCUACGUUGGGAAGGUUUUUGGUAACAAAGUCGAUAGACAAAUCUUGCUGGAUAUAUGCAAUUAAGAAUCAGUUCUAGUUCAAGCGUCAAGAACAAAAAUCUAUUCAUUUGUGGCUGAGUGCCCCGAUGAGGCGAUGUGACUAGCGUGUGAUAGUGCAUGAGAUAAGGGGUUCUGACUACUAUGAGAUUAGGAAGGCACAUCCCGAGCAUAUUUGUCUUAUUAAGACUAGGAAAUGGUACAAGAAUAGAAAAAAAUCACAGGUUAUAGAUUCUGUGUAACAAGUCCAGGUUUGGGGAUCCUAGGAAAGGUCUUGUAUGUAGAGAUCUACAACGGCUUGUUCUAAAAUCUUACAUGAAGUGCUAUACGGCUAAAGAGCAUGAAAUAUUUGGUAUUUAAAGAACAGAUGAUAAUUCUUGCAUUAAAAUGUCUGAAUAGCUAUACAUGUUACAACUUGCUAACCUAAGUACCAUUGCUGAUUUGGAGACUUAAUUGGGUGAGGAGGGUCAGGGCCGGUUUUUGUACCUAUUCCUUGCUUUUGGUGCGUCCAUAAGCGAGUUCAAUAAUUUGAGACACGUGCAGCCAAUAGUGCGUGUGGAAUAUAUUUGUUGAAGAUUGGUGUUGCUCAUUGGUCCAGUGAAAAUAUUCCGGGAGACCUAUACAAUAUAAUGAAAAUUAAUAUUGUAGAGCAAUUUAAAAAAGCUUCGAACAAAGGGAGAUCAUCACCUAUAUUAGAUCUGUAGGUUUUUGGCGGAUGACAAUGUGAAAAGGAACUGUUUUAACUGUGGUAGUUUGGAAAAUCAAUUAGGGUGUGUGACUCAAAAUCUAGAAAUUUAGGAGCAAUCGAGGAUGGGGUUCGAGAGGGGUUAGGGCUAGGGAUUAGAAAGACAUAAUUGGGAAAGUGUUUUUGUUUUACAUUUUUUAAAUUAAAAUCAUAAAGAAAUUAAGAAAAAAAGAGAGAAAACCAACGGUUUGGUUAGGAAAAAGAAGUAACUAGUGAUCCUAAUAUAAUAAGGGUAUAAUAAACAAUCAGCACGAGAGUAUGAUAUUCAAUAAAAAAAACUUUAGAGCAGUUCGUCCUAGCCGCUCUCAAACAUAAUAAUCGAGUCAGAUCCUAUCUCCACCUUCUCUGGCACCGGUGAAUGAAGCUAGAUCUCUCUGGCGCCGGUACUUCCCGUCUCGUCUCUCCUGCCUCCUCGUCUCUUUGCUCUUCUCAAACCUUUCGUGUAUGUUCUGUCCGUUUUUGAUUCUGCUGUUUCGUGGUGACUGGAGUUUUCAUCGGUUCUCGCGACGGAGGUGGAAGCAAAGCCGGAUGAAUCCGUUUCUCACUGUGAUGCUCCCUCUUUGGCUACUUAUUCUCUGUUCACCGACUUCAGUCUCCUCUGCCACUGUGUCUGACAACCACUUCUCGAAUGAAAGCCUCAAAGAUAUAUACUCAUGAACCUUUGCUCAACGUUUAUUGGUGGGGUUUGAGGCUGCUUCUUCUAGGUGUAGCUUUCCUAUCUCACACCAAGAUCUCUCUGUUCCUGUAGCACUGUCGGGUGAAUCUGUCGGCUUUUAUUUCUUAUGAUAUUUCCUCUUGACAGAUCUACUUUUUCACUGGUAUGUACCAUCGACUUUCUGUUCGAGGACCAAUCUCCCUACGGGGGAGAACUGCUCAAACUUAUUAUGGCGUGAAGGCAAAAGGCUUUGAUAAAUCUGUACACUGACUCGCAUAAUCUGAUCCUGCAACCAUUGGCAUAUUCAUUUUAUGUUCAAGAGGACAUCUUCGGGAGCCCUCACAAGACCUUUGGAGCAUUUCUUCCAACAGUCACUUGCCUGGUCUUCUGGUGUUCAGGAAUCAAUCAUUAUCAACUAGCUCUCUCUCAAGAAAAUGUCCAUUAUCAGUUCCAUCACUGAAGUGCCUAAAGCUAGAACCAACCAGCCCUCUAAAACUAUCUUUUCUAGAUAAAUUUUGGUCAAACUUCCUCUCGACAAGGCCGAGAGAGAUCUUUCUCCACUUCCUCCUAAUCAAAGGAGAUGAUAUUCUCACCACAAUCCCUCUUUGUAAGAGGUGACCACUCUACGGAAAUCAAAACCGUAAAAAUUCACCGAUUUCCUAACCGUUUGUUAUCUUAUGUGAUGGUCAACUUGGGGCUGGUAGAUACAACAAUUCUUAUUCCGAUGAGAAUCGAGAUUCGGGAUGAUGUUGCGACGUCACAUUUUACCGUGACUAAUAGUUUAUUACUUGCGGAGAUUGACGUGCAGUGUAACUCUUUCAUAGAAAAGAUCGCAAGUGGCAACUUUGAUUUUUUUUAUAACAUUUAAUCAAACUUUGACAAGUUUGUGUCUCUAUCCUUGUACUACUUUGAUUUAUAUGUUAAGGAUCUUGCCUUUUGGUUUGCA
Brassica napus (rape) is the source of this 4066-nucleotide long non-coding RNA. RefSeq lists it as uncharacterized. The transcript has 2 exons. NCBI's taxonomy places the organism in Eukaryota, Viridiplantae, Streptophyta, Magnoliopsida, Brassicales, Brassicaceae. The record is from RefSeq and is a predicted model, not a curated record.